UCUAAUUAAAAUUUUAUUAUUUAUAAACUAAUGAAAUCAAAAUUAUAAAGUCGAUAUAUUGCUAUAUUCUAUUA
RNAcentral lists this transfer RNA (74 nucleotides) under Megadenia pygmaea. Its description in RNAcentral is "transfer RNA-Trp". Lineage: Eukaryota; Viridiplantae; Streptophyta; Magnoliopsida; Brassicales; Brassicaceae. The record is from RNAcentral.